UGGCGAACGGGUGAGUAACACGUGGGUGAUCUGCCCUGCACUUUGGGAUAAGCCUGGGAAACUGGGUCUAAUACCGAAUAUGACUGGUCUUUAGUGUGACUGGUGGAAAGCUUUUGCGGUGUGGGAUGAGCCUGCGGCCUAUCAGCUUGUUGGUGGGGUAAUGGCCUACCAAGGCGUCGACGGGUAGCCGGACUGAGAGGUCGAUCGGCCACAUUGGGACUGAGACACGGCCCAGACUCCUACGGGAGGCAGCAGUGGGGAAUAUUGCACAAUGGGCGCAAGCCUGAUGCAGCGACGCCGCGUGGGGGAUGACGGCCUUCGGGUUGUAAACCUCUUUCGCUCACGACGAAGGGUAACUGACGGUAGUGAGAUAAGAAGCACCGGCUAACUACGUGCCAGCAGCCGCGGUAAUACGUAGGGUGCGAGCGUUGUCCGGAAUUACUGGGCGUAAAGAGCUCGUAGGUGGUUUGUCGCGUCGUCUGUGAAAUACCGGGGCUUAACUUCGGAGCUGCAGGCGAUACGGGCAUAACUUGAGUGCUGUAGGGGAGACUGGAAUUCCUGGUGUAGCGGUGAAAUGCGCAGAUAUCAGGAGGAACACCGAUGGCGAAGGCAGGUCUCUGGGCAGUAACUGACGCUGAGGAGCGAAAGCAUGGGUAGCGAACAGGAUUAGAUACCCUGGUAGUCCAUGCUGUAAACGGUGGGCGCUAGGUGUAGGGGUCUUCCACGACUUCUGUGCCGUAGCUAACGCAUUAAGCGCCCCGCCUGGGGAGUACGGCCGCAAGGCUAAAACUCAAAGGAAUUGACGGGGGCCCGCACAAGCGGCGGAGCAUGUGGAUUAAUUCGAUGCAACGCGAAGAACCUUACCUGGGCUUGACAUACACCGGACCGGGCCAGAGAUGGUCUUUCCCUUGUGGCUGGUGUACAGGUGGUGCAUGGUUGUCGUCAGCUCGUGUCGUGAGAUGUUGGGUUAAGUCCCGCAACGAGCGCAACCCUUGUCUUAUGUUGCCAGCACGUCGUGGUGGGGACUCAUGAGAGACUGCCGGGGUUAACUCGGAGGAAGGUGGGGAUGACGUCAAAUCAUCAUGCCCCUUAUGUCCAGGGCUUCACACAUGCUACAAUGGUCGGUACAACGCGUUUGCGACAUCGUGAGGUGAAGCUAAUCGCUGAAAGCCGGCCUCAGUUCGGAUUGGGGUCUGCAACUCGACCCCAUGAAGUCGGAGUCGCUAGUAAUCGCAGAUCAGCAACGCUGC
RNAcentral lists this ribosomal RNA (1250 nucleotides) under uncultured Corynebacterium sp. RNAcentral describes it as "bacterial SSU rRNA". It matches the Rfam family "Bacterial small subunit ribosomal RNA", at positions 96 to 1360 of the family's 1533-position model. The record is from RNAcentral. Lineage: Bacteria; Bacillati; Actinomycetota; Actinomycetes; Mycobacteriales; Corynebacteriaceae.